GUUUGUGUUUGUGAGAGUGGUGGAGAGGAUACACGAGGAUGUUCAUAUAUAGGAAUAUGCAUUCAUGGGUAUGAGUUUGUUUUGUCUGGUCCAAAUGGACCUCAAGAGACUGAAGUUGGUUAAAGUCGUGUCAGAAAAUGCUUUUAGCUUUAGAUUGGGUUAGCUUUAAAGUUUAAACUGAGCUGGACUGGAAAACGAAAAGAAAUUUUGGGUUAUUAUUUCACUUAUGGUGGGUUGAACUAUGAAGGAACUUAAGGCACUAACUGAUUCUGUGUAUCUGUCAUUAUGGAACAGAGGUGAAACUGGAUUGUUAUUAUGUGAUCAUUAUGGAACAAAGGUGGAAAUCAUGCAAAUGGAUUUUUUUUUUCUUUU
RNAcentral lists this unclassified non-coding RNA (372 nucleotides) under Hevea brasiliensis (rubber tree). Lineage: Eukaryota; Viridiplantae; Streptophyta; Magnoliopsida; Malpighiales; Euphorbiaceae. The record is from RNAcentral.